GACCAAUAUGCUAAAUAAAAUAAGAGCUUUGUGCAAAUGCAGAGGGGGAACAGGAGCUGGGAUACCCCCCUUCUGGACCCCCAAGGUCCCCAAACCUCAAAAUGAAAGCGCAGGAAGGGGCUUGAGGAAAGACGUCGUCGUCGUCUAGAGUGCUCAGUCGAGGCCAGAGGGGAUUAAAGGCGUCAAAUAGGGAGUCUCCACACCUGAGCGGGCUCCAGCUAAGUCAAUCAGCCCCGGGGAUUUGAGGACGUGCUCCGAGGCCUCAGCCUCAGUCUCUCCGACUCUCCCACCCGCUGCCGGGCUCUCCUCUCCCUAAAGGUGGACCUGAAACUCCGACACCUCGACUUCUGGGCCAGCCUCCAUGGCCAGGUCCCGGGACUGUGGGACUGGGACAUGGGGAACGAGUGCUUCCUGGCCUUCACCACAGCGCACCUGCCCUUAGCCGAGCAGAACCUUGCCAGAUAUAGACUCCGAAUAAUUCCGCAACUAAAACUACCUCUGGAAAAAAAACCCAACCCUGAUAAAGAUGGUCCAGAUUUUGAGCCCAACCUGUGGAUGUGGGUAAACCCCAACAUCGUGUUACCCCCUGGAAAGCUGGAGGUCCCAGAACCUAGUAAGGGAGAGGAUCUGACGAACACACUCCCCUCCCCUCAGUCACCUCGAAAAGAAGAAGACUUUGCCAACUUCUCAGAGGCCACAGUGGUGGAGUCGCUGCCGCCUUCCUCCAGCGAGCAGUCUCCCGCUUGGAAACGGUUUGCCUCUUCCUCCAGCAACUGGGAGCUCACAGAAGAGGAGGAGGCUGAGGACCAGGAUGACAGCUCCUCUGUGGCUCUCCCGUCCCCUCACAAAAGGGCCCCCCUCCAGAGUCGGAGGCUUCGGCAAGCCAACAGCCAGGAGGGGAGGCUCUGGUCCCGGCCCCCUCUCAAUUACUUCCAUCUAAUUGCACUGGCAUUAAGAAACAGUUCCCCCUGUGGCCUCAACGUGCAACAGAUCUACAGUUUCACUCGACAACAUUUCCCCUUUUUUCGGACGGCUCCGGAAGGCUGGAAGAAUACUGUCCGUCACAAUCUCUGUUUCCGAGACAGCUUUGAGAAAGUGCCGGUCAGCAUGCAGGGUGGGGCCAGCACACGGCCUCGAUCCUGCCUCUGGAAGUUGACUGAGGAGGGACACCGCCGCUUUGCAGAGGAGGCCCGUGCCUUGGCCUCUACUCGGCUGGAAAGUAUCCAGCGGUGCAUGAGCCAGCCAGGUGUGAGGCCCUGUCAUGUGUGGGGCUGAGGGGACCUGAAGAUCCUGAGUGUGCAAGGAAGGAGCCUGGGUCACACCGUGGGGGACACCUUCUGUAGGACGGGGAGAGGAUAGCAGUCAUCCGAGACCCCUGGGGUGGUGCCUGCUGACGUGGGACCCCCCCCACACACGCAUGGGACCUGAGGAACAGGGAGUUGAUGGAGAAACAACUGAGGUGCCAUCGGCCCUACUCACAGCCCAGCAGCCUAGGGAAAUGGUGACCGUACAACGUGAGAAGCAUGAUGUGAUGCCCUUCCUCUUUGACCUUUAAGUCCAAGAAGCCAGAGUCAGCCCGUGCCUUAUUAAAGUUACCUGCAGCAGCCUUGUGUGUGUGUGGUCUCUGAGGAUGGGAGUGGGGUGGAGGUGGUCAGCUCUGAGGUUGGAAAUGGGAUGGCCUCAGAGCUGACAUGCUCCAGAGGCAAUGGCGCAGUUGCCUACUGUGCAGCAAAGG
Non-coding RNA from Equus caballus (horse), 1735 nucleotides. Lineage: Eukaryota; Metazoa; Chordata; Mammalia; Perissodactyla; Equidae. The record is from RefSeq and is a predicted model, not a curated record.